RNAcentral lists this transfer RNA (72 nucleotides) under Acidimicrobiia bacterium. Its description in RNAcentral is "tRNA-Ala". It matches the Rfam family "tRNA". Rfam says of the family: Transfer RNA (tRNA) molecules are approximately 80 nucleotides in length. Their secondary structure includes four short double-helical elements and three loops (D, anti-codon, and T loops). The record is from RNAcentral. Lineage: Bacteria; Bacillati; Actinomycetota; Acidimicrobiia.
GGGGCUGUAGCUCAGCCGGCAGAGCGCUUGCAUGGCAUGCAAGAGGUCACGGGUUCAAAUCCCGUCAGCUCC